Non-coding RNA from Rothia mucilaginosa DY-18, 406 nucleotides. It matches the Rfam family "Bacterial RNase P class A". Rfam says of the family: Ribonuclease P (RNase P) is a ubiquitous endoribonuclease, found in archaea, bacteria and eukarya as well as chloroplasts and mitochondria. Its best characterised activity is the generation of mature 5'-ends of tRNAs by cleaving the 5'-leader elements of precursor-tRNAs. The record is from Rfam. Lineage: Bacteria; Bacillati; Actinomycetota; Actinomycetes; Micrococcales; Micrococcaceae.
CGGGCCGUCUGGGCAAUCGCGAGGCACACGUGCUUCGAGGAAAGUCCGGGCUCCACAGCACAGGAUGGUGGAUAACAUCCACUCGGGGUAACCCGCAGGCCAGUGCCACAGAAAGUAAACCGCCGCGGUUCGCCGCGGUAAGGGUGAAAGGGUGGUGUAAGAGACCACCAGCGGGCGCGGUGACGUGCCCGGCUAGGUAAACCCCAUUCGGAGCAAGGUCAAACAGAAUACGCCAUGGUAGGGUAGUGCGCCCGAUCCCCGUCAGCUUCCUUCACGGAGGUGGGGUGCGUAUUCGGGUAGGCUGCUUGAGACGUGCGGCAACGUACGUUCUAGAUAGAUGAUUGCCUCGAAACGCCCCUUCGGGCGGCGUUUUAGACAGAACCCGGCUCAUAGGAUGACCCGUUUC